RNAcentral lists this unclassified non-coding RNA (237 nucleotides) under Hevea brasiliensis (rubber tree). Lineage: Eukaryota; Viridiplantae; Streptophyta; Magnoliopsida; Malpighiales; Euphorbiaceae. The record is from RNAcentral.
AAAAAAAAUACCAAAAGGGGGUUACUUCAAAAAUAUUUACCAAAAGGGCGUGUUUUAGUUGACUUAGAGGAGAAAGAGAGCUGGUCGCUAGUAUAGGUAGGGACCAGUAAAUAAAAAUUAAAAAAAAAAUACAAUUGAUGAACAAGUAGCUGGACGCUAUUUAAAGUAGCGUUUAGUUAUUAGACGCUACUCUAAGAGGCGUCCAAUUACUUUUUUGUCCUUAAAAAUGUAUUAAUU